This 497-nucleotide ribosomal RNA is filed under the name uncultured bacterium. Its description in RNAcentral is "partial 16S ribosomal RNA". It matches the Rfam family "Bacterial small subunit ribosomal RNA", at positions 28 to 507 of the family's 1533-position model. The record is from RNAcentral.
GAUGAACGCUGGCGGCGUGCCUAAUACAUGCAAGUCGAGCGAACGGACGAGAAGCUUGCUUCUCUGAUGUUAGCGGCGGACGGGUGAGUAACACGUGGAUAACCUACCUAUAAGACUGGGAUAACUUCGGGAAACCGUAGCUAAUACCGGAUAAUAUUUUGAACCGCAUGGUUCAAAAGUGAAAGACGGUCUUGCUGUCACUUAUAGAUGGAUCCGCGCUGCAUUAGCUAGUUGGUAAGGUAACGGCUUACCAAGGCAACGAUGCAUAGCCGACCUGAGAGGGUGAUCGGCCACACUGGAACUGAGACACGGGCCAGACUCCUACGGGAGGCAGCAGUAGGGAAUCUUCCGCAAUGGGCGAAAGCCUGACGGAGCAACGCCGCGUGAGUGAUGAAGGUCUUCGGAUCGUAAAACUCUGUUAUUAGGGAAGAACAUAUGUGUAAGUAACUGUGCACAUCUUGACGGUACCUAAUCAGAAAGCCACGGCUAACUACGUG